Gallus gallus (chicken) is the source of this 7505-nucleotide long non-coding RNA. RefSeq lists it as uncharacterized. The record is from RefSeq and is a predicted model, not a curated record. The transcript has 3 exons. Lineage: Eukaryota; Metazoa; Chordata; Aves; Galliformes; Phasianidae.
GGAGCCGCCAUGGCGCGGCGCGGCAAGAUGAGCGGUCCGGCUUCCUCCUCAAGUUGGACUUCAGCUCGCUGGAGUGAGCAGCGCACCGCUGACAUCAGCCUCGGCUACGAGAAGCCGAAGGGGUCGAUGCUAUUCUGGAGCGCUGCCUUAUCAAAGAUGUUCACUGUACAAUCGUCUUCGUUUAAAAGAUAGCAGAUCGGAUGUGGCGCUGAGGGACACAGUGGGCAUGGUGGUGAUGGGCUGCCAGCUGGACUAGAUGAUCUCGGAGGUCUUUUCCAACCUUAAUCAUUCCACGACCCUAUGAUUCUGUUAUUUGUUCUUUGUCUGCUCUGGGUGAUAUUACAGAAGGCGACACUACUCUGAUUUUUUUCUUUUUGGUGAGAUAAAUUAUAAGGAAUAACCUCAUGCAUCGGUACGGGUUAGGGGCUGAUCUGCUGGAAAGGAGCUCUGUGGAAAAGGGCUUGGAGGUCCCAGUGGACGACAGGUUGGCCAUGAGCCAGCAGUGUGCCCUGGUGGCCAAGAAGGCCAAUGGGAUCCUGGGGUGCAUUAAAAGGAAUGCGGCCAGCAGGUCGAGGGAGGUGAUUCUGCCCCUCUACUCUGCCUUUGUGAGGCCUCAUCUGGAGUAAUGUGUCCAGCUCUGGGCUCCCCAGUUCCAGAAAGACAGGGACAUAGAGGAAGUCCAGCAGAGGGUGACAAAGAUGGUUAAGGGCCUGGGGCAUCUCUCUUAUGAGGAAAGGGUGAGUAACCUGGGUCUGUUCAGCCUGGGGAAGACAGAGGAGGAGUCUGAUUAAUAUUUAUAAAUAUCUAAAGGGAGAUGGGAGGCAAACGGAUGAGGCCAGGCUCUUCUCAGUGGUGUGUAGCAAUAGGAUAAAGAGCAAAGGCAUAACACUUGAACACAGGAUGUUCCAUACUGAUAUGUAGAAGAUCUUCCUUAUGGUAAGGGUGGCAGAGCACUGGAGCAGGUUGCCCAGAGAGAUUGUAGAGUCUCCUUCUAUGGAGAUAUUCAAGACCCAUCUGGACACCUACCUGUGUGACCUAUUGUAGGGAACCUGCUUCAGCAGGGGAGUUGGACUUGAUUAUCUCUUGAGGUCUUGCAAUUCUGUGAUUCUGUGAUAAGUACCUUCAACAAAUUCACUAUUUGCCUCAGAAUAAUCCCAUACAUAAAUGGCAGAAGAUAAAAGCAGUCUUUCCCAUUUCCUAUGGGUCUUCAUGGCUGUGUUCACGUUGCAACAUGGGGAUUCUGCUUAAGGAUACGCAAUGUCCUUCAGAUGAGACACAGUGCAAUGCCAUAGGUUUGGGUUUUAUUUAUCUUGAGAGCAUUUUGCAGAAAGAAAAAAACAUAUCGAUUUAUAGACCUCUACACAUUGGCAUAACAGACACCAUAAAUGCGUGCAAGUCCUACAGGUACAUUUUGGAUAAUUUAGGGGAAAACAGCUUUCCCUAAGUGAAUAUUUCACUCAUAGUAUUUCAUUGGUUUUGAAGGAAAACGAUGGCAUAAUCAUCUCUGAAAUGUAUCUGGAUACAGAAAAAUGUGUGUUUUGGGACCCUUAAGUAACAAGGCAAAUGCAAUAAGAAAGAACGCAGCCAAUGUUUACUUUACUCUGAUUUUUCUUUUUCUUUUUAAUUUAAUGAUGCUGCCAAAUAAUGCAUUUGGCAAGACCUGCUUCAAAUCUUUGCCUUUUACACCGUGGUUUAUUUACAAAUACUUUUUAGCAGGUUUUUUUACCACAUAGAUUCGUGGCUUGACUCCUGUAUUUUGAAAACACCCCCGAUUUUUUAUCUGUUCUACUUUCGCUCCCAGCAAUCAUUUACAUAAUUCUUUACUUUUUUUUACCCUUAAACACCACUUAACAUUAUUAUUUCCACUCCAGCUACAUGGGCUACAUUGAAAAUUCCAGCCAGAGCAGGAAGGGUUUGCCAGAUCAGAGACAGGUUCUAAGUUGUAGUGAUACUCUGUUAGUUUAUAUAUAUAUAUGGUGUUGGGUUUUUUCACAGACAAGCCGCAGAUGAUCAUUUCACUGUCUGCUCUCAACAGAUCAAGGAUAGCGUGUUGCUGUAGAGGACUGAAUUGGAAAGUUACCAUUUCUUCCUUGAUCCCCUCUUUGGCUUCAGGAAGAACUCGUCUAGAGGUCACUCAUGGAUCAACAUCUUGUGUCAGUUGAGACACCUUACACCACCUGGGACAACUGCUUAAAGCUGGCAGUUAGGAUGUGGGACCUGCGGAAAAACCACAGCAGAUGGAGUCCAGAGCAUGUCAAAUAACACUAGAAAGGUCACGUUCUUGUUCAGCAGUCUCAUCAAGCUGUCUUGGACAUCCACAGAAUGGCAAAUCAUGCUUUGAAGCAAUCUCUUGUUGUCAAAACUCAGGGAACACUUUUUAAUACAUCAAAACCUCUCAUAAGGUACAACUUAAUUGCCUUUUAGAAUUGUGACUAAUUUUUUUCCCCUCAAAACUCAGAUGCUUUUAUUUCCUAUAACGUUACUCAUACAAUGAAAAGGAAAAUAUGUCAGAUUGCUCAUCACACAUCCACUCUGUUAUCUUUUCUUGUUAGGCAUUUGGAUGAUGAAAAACGACUGUGAAACGCUUUGUUGAAAAGAAAGGUUUUUUUUUUCCUUGUGAAAGAAAUGACAAAGAUAGAAGUGGCACCGGCGUCAUCCUGUGUAGCUCACCAUGACCGCGGUUUGACAGCCAGCCUACGACAAACACGCCAAUUAGCUGGUAUGGGAGAGGAGAUCAGCAUGGGGCUUGGAAUACAAAGGAUAUUUAAAUUGCAGCCAGGGGUAAGCCUGAUAGAAAGACAGUCCCAUAGAUACAAAUGGACUUGACGGCAAAAAUAAUUCGUCCUAUGUGUCAACAGUUUUAUUUGAAGCAUACAAUGAAAAAUACUGACAUGCUGUUUUAUUCCACUUAACAACUGCUGCACCACAAAUUUUAAUUUUUAAGUAGUAACAUUCUCACAUUACAUGUAUAGAUUUUUCUGUUGAAAUAUGUUCCCACGUGUUAUCACAGUUCAUCCUUACAGUGUAUAAUUAGAAAACCUAUUUGUAUAGCAGUAUGUCUAACACUUACAAGCCAGGGAAAUGCUUUACACAAAUAAAUUAUCUUUUUAACUUGUUGACAACAAAACUGCCAAGGCAGCAGCCAGAGUAACACCCAGUGUAUCUCAAUGGGUGUGCGCCCAUUCUUACCAACCGAUAUUUAUGAUGCAUUCCUUCUAAGUUUACUGUCUAUAUUUUUACUGAAAAUUUAAUUUCCAUUGAGAAACCAAUGAACGUACUAGUAUUUUGCAUGGCAAACCUCAUCUGAUGUUAUCUGAAUCUCUCACUCAGACUAUACAGAAUCGCAUGUAUUUUCCUUUGCCUUUUAGGGAACUACUGGGAAUAGAGCUCUUAGCAGUGCCACAUUUUAAAAACGAGUACCUGUGACUCAUUGUUCACCUUUUUUUUCCCAGCAGGCAUUCCAGAAUAUGACCUUUUCUUUACCACAGCCACCAGCAAAGAGAUUUUUUUAAAAUUAGAUUCACAGAUGAGCUUUUAUGAACUGUAUGUAUCUGUGCACAAUAAGCAUCUGCUUUGGUUGCUUGUGAGGGAAUCACUCAGCAAUGGACAAAAAAGUAGAAAAUAAAAAGGGAUGAGAUUCUCCUCCUGCAUGGAGGAAUCAGAGUACAAAUCUGUUCAUGAAAAUAUUUUUGAUUACUUGCAUAAAGCAGAUCUUUGGCAAAAGGAUGAGAAGAUUCAUUGCAAAAAUGUCAGGAGACUGUUGAAGGACUAUUGGCUUCAGCUGCAUUCUCCAGGCAGGUAGAUUCAGAGCUCCAAAAAUAUUUCCUGGCUUGGGUAAGCCCAGGUUACAGUGAGUUGAAAAUUCUAUUCAACUGAGAAUGGAAAUUAGAGUCAAUAGAAAACUGAGACUUGGCUUUCAUAAGAAACGUUGGCCAAUUUCAGUUAUGUAACACAAAGGCUGCUUAUGGAAAGGUGUGUGUUGAAGCACAUAUUUCCUUCCAGCAUGUAUUCCUCAAACAUCCUUGAGAAAUGGCAUCAAAAUCUUAAUCUCCUGACUGUGCUAAGGGGCUCCAUCUUCUGCUUUCCAAUGUCUGGAUCUUCUCGCAUCUCCAGUCCUGUGUGUUGCACAGAAAACCUCAAAGCCUACACAGGAUUUCACUGGGGAAAUAUAGUCUGUAAAAAUUUCAUUUGUAUGUACGGUAAAUGUAGGUAUUUGAAAGGUAAUACUGAACACUGAUCUGAUACCUCCAUGUUGGCCUUUAAUAUAUAUUCAUUAUUAUGUACUCAUGCAUUUAGUUCUUGUAAUUUACUUUUCCAAACAUUAGAGCAUGAGAAUAUACAUAAUACAUAUAUAUGUAUAUAAGAGAGGCCCCACUGUAUUCAAAAUGGGAUACGUGCUCAUACAACUGUAUUUAUGACUGCUGGUUUUGCAGCUAGAAACUCAUUUUUGUUACUAGGGAAAAAGUCCCCCUAAACCCAUCAUGGGUUUUGAAAGAGUUAAAGCUGUAGGAUCAGUGAAUCUAGGCUUAAGGAUAAUGUAAAGGAUGGCCAUCAGUCAUUUAAUUAAUCACGUACUUUUUCCUGCAAGAACUGCCAUUUAAAAAGCUCAACACACAACACUUUUUAACACCUUGUAGUUUUGGUUGAUGCUAAUUUUGACUACUCCCCUCUCUGAUCAGCUAGAAGUUGGCACCUAAGCUUAGUGGACUCUUGACUCAUCCAUAGAUGAUCUUACAGGUUAACUUCAGGAAUGGUCACGGUCUCAUCGUGGUUAAGAACUAUGCACAAAAUCUCCCUUUCAGCACCACUUUCCAACAGUAAGCUCCUCACUCACAACCUUACAACACACUCUCCCAUGCAUCUAUACAAACACUAUUAAACAAGAAAACUAAAUGUUAUCAAAUUGUUUAACUCACAGACUGAAGAGAGAUCAUUUUCAGAUUUCAAUUCCUUGGAAUCAUGGAUGUUGUAGACUAUAUAUGCAUGGGCAUAAGGAACUUUGAAGACAACAUUAUUAUUUCUUUCAAUAUUACUAUAGCGUUAAAGACCCUUGUAGCAUUUUAGCAACCCGUGUCUAAUAUGGUUGGAAGUUCUACUGUACUUAAUAUCAUUGCAUACAGUACUUCCUAAACUGCUUUUAACAUUUUCUUUCUGGGAUACACAAUAAUUCAAGUUCAACUGAGGUUUUCUUAUUAAAUAUUUGGAGAUUGAAAAUAUGGUACUGAACAAUGAGAAAACACCGUCCCAUAACACAUAACAUACAAACCACUUUUUGCAGUUCUAACAAAAUGAGAUCAUACAUAAAAAUGUCACAAUUAGCUCAGUACAUUGGUAUGAUCACAAAAAUAUUAAGUUCAGCUGAUAUUGUCACAUAUUAAGGGCCAAAUCCUGGCUCAAUGUGCAGUUGAAACCUAAACAGAUGUUUACAGAAAGUAAUGAAAAUACAAAGCCACUCUGAAGUGCCAUAAUGAUAACAAUGCCUUUUAUUGAUCUACCUAAGAUUUUUUGCCUAUAGUGUGUACCUAGUUUGUGCAAUGGAAGAAACACAUGGCCAGCGGUGCUUGACUCCUGUCCUAGGACACUUCCUUAUAGACUUUCUGUGGCCAAGGGCGGUGAGGGCUGAGAGGUCAAUCUUCCCUCUGGGUAUGAUAGUUUUGCAGGCAUCCAUACGUAUUGUUCUGCCAGAAUUUGGCCAAGAGUUUUAAAUCCUCUACAUCUUAUUCAGUAGUCCCAGUGAAGUCAGUGGAACUUUUUUUUUUGUGUGAGUAAGAUGAAAAGGAUUUGGCCCCCAGUGUUUUUAACCCUUUAAGUAGUACGAGAGUAGUUUCAUUGCACUUAGCCCAUCAUUCACAAAUAAAUUUAUAUCCAAAAACAGAAGAUUGGUAUUGAAGUAUAGAAAGUGUUGGUUCGCGAAGGAGGAAAGCAUGCAGCAACAUCUGACUACUAGUAUCAUGUGGGACCUGAAUUCCUAAAGGGAAAAAAGAGAUGCUUAUAUGACAGAAUUUUAUCCCAUAUUUAUCUGAGGCCAAAAGAUUAUUUAUUCAAUUCUUAAAUACCUUCUCAGUGGGUACCCUGGAAGCACUAAAUAACUAGCAUAUAUACACAGAUAUAAGUGAAUUUGUUUCUUCCUUGAUCUGGAUGGAUAAGCAACUACAGUUAUAGCGUAAUUUGGCAAAAACUAUUGGAGCAGAAGGAUUUUUCAAAUAGCAUCUUAAAUAUUUUCAUAUGGAAAACAUGAUCAUGACUUUGAGAAAGGAGAAAUGUUGCUCUCACCCAUGAGAAUGUUUUUGACUGGAGAGGGCAGGAACAGUGUUUUUGUAUUUAAAACACAGAAACCCUACUCUGUUACACAAUUCCAUCUUUUGUUCUGUGACUGGGUAUGAAUUGCUACUCAUUUGGAUUAGACAAGGUAAAGGAUAACUAUAUGCAAAUCAAAUUAACCAAAACAAACUGACUGGCACUCUGAUUACAGGUCACUGAGAUGCAGUGUAUUCUAAUAGCAAGCAGUACUCAGAUGCUGAAUUUGGGAUUUAAAUUUAAAUUAAAAGUCAGGAUGCAGAUGUGAAUUCCGAGUUAGAACUGGAAAAUAGGACCAAAUACCAUUCAGUGUAAUCACAAAGGACAGCGUGAAUUACUUCAUCUCUAAUAAAAACUGUGUCAUGCUCAGUAAGGAGUUGUAACAAAGCUACAAAGCACUGAGUAGGAGAGUCCUUUAAAUGCUUGUCUCAGCAAAGUCUGUACAUAGACAAUUUUACAGCAUUUCUCUUUUGCAAAUGAGAUAAAUUACCAUAUCUGUUAAGGGAAUUGUUACCCUUUUGGUUAUAUUAAAUCAUUUUAUUAUCUAGUUUUGCUUCUUUCCUUCUCAAACAGAAGGAUGUAGACAUGUCAUACUGACAGCAGUCCUUCAGAAUCAAAUCCUCUGGGGACUGUGAGCUGCAUAUCCCUUUGACUACAUGAAUAGGAUUAGGUAUCAUACUUAAUUCCUCCACUGACUGCUGAGAUUAGGAAAAAAAAAGAGUUCUUGGAAAUUAAUCUGAGUUAAGCAGAGACUUCACUCACUGGUGAAACUCCACAGGCUUCAACAAGCACAGCAUUAGUCUAGCCCUGGGAGAACGUGACUGAGAGCUCCCCAGAACAUAACCGGGGCUCUAGCAAAGAAUUCAAAAGGAGAUUCUUCAUGGUAUGUCAAGAAAAAUGUUAGUUUGUGUGAUGUUGUGCCUACACCUGGUAAGAAAAGUGUUAAGAUCUCUCUUUGUUACUAUUAAGUCUCUUUGAUUUCAUCUAGUUUCCCAUGAUUCAUGCCUUUCCACACAUAUAUCCUAUGCUUAAAAUCAGAUCCUGCAGUCUUCGUUUAAUCUUUGUUCAUCACCUCACAGGGAAUUUUUCUUUUUCAGAACAGUACAGAGUAGGAGAGACGCUCCAUGCACUUUCUCCACCCUGAGAUACCAUUUAGCCCUCGUUGCCUCCUGGCAUGAACUCAGUUUCCAGACUUUGUCCCUGUUGUG